This 467-nucleotide ribosomal RNA is filed under the name uncultured bacterium. RNAcentral describes it as "partial 16S ribosomal RNA". It matches the Rfam family "Bacterial small subunit ribosomal RNA", at positions 28 to 506 of the family's 1533-position model. The record is from RNAcentral.
GACGAACGCUGGCGGCGUGCUUAACACAUGCAAGUCGAACGGAAAGGCCCUGCUUUUGUGGGGUGCUCGAGUGGCGAACGGGUGAGUAACACGUGAGUAACCUGCCCUUGACUUUGGGAUAACUUCAGGAAACUGGGGCUAAUACCGGAUAGGAGCUCCUGCUGCAUGGUGGGGGUUGGAAAGUUUCGGCGGUUGGGGAUGGACUCGCGGCUUAUCAGCUUGUUGGUGGGGUAGUGGCUUACCAAGGCUUUGACGGGUAGCCGGCCUGAGAGGGUGACCGGCCACAUUGGGACUGAGAUACGGCCCAGACUCCUACGGGAGGCAGCAGUGGGGAAUAUAGCACAAGGGGCGGAAGCCUGAUGCAGCAACGCCGCGUGCGGGAUGACGGCCUUCGGGUGGUAAACCGCUUUCGCCUGUGACGAAGCGUGAGUGACGGUAAUGGGUAAAGAAGCACCGGCUAACUACGU